GACGAACGCUGGCGGCGUGCUUAACACAUGCAAGUCGAACGGGCCUUGUCCCCUUUUUUUUUGUUGGUGGGGUUAGUGGCGAACGGGUGAGUAACACGUGAGUAACCUGCCCCUCACUUCUGGAUAACCGCUUGAAAGGGUGGCUAAUACGGGGUGUUCUGGCCUGCUCGCAUGGGUGGGUUUGGAAAGAUUCGACCGGUUUUGGUUGUUUUGGUGGGGGAUGGGCUCGCGGCCUAUCAGCUUGUUGGUGGGGUGAUGGCCUGCCAAGGCUUUGACGGGUAGCCGGCCUGAGAGGGUGGGCGGUCACACUGGGACUGAGACACGGCCCAGACUCCUACGGGAGGCAGCAGUGGGGAAUAUUGCACAAUGGGCGCAAGCCUGAUGCAGCGACGCCGCGUGAGGGAUGGAGGCCUUCGGGUUGUGAACCUCUUUCGGCAGUGAAGAAGGUGCUGCUGUUUGUGGUGGGGUUGACGGUAGCUGGGUUAAUGAAGCGCCGGCUAACUACGUG
Molecule: ribosomal RNA, 508 nt
Filed under: uncultured bacterium
Lineage: Bacteria
Description: partial 16S ribosomal RNA
Rfam family: Bacterial small subunit ribosomal RNA
Source: RNAcentral